UAACACCGGCGGCCCGAGUGGUGAUCGUGAUUAUUGGGUCUAAAGGGUCCGUAGCCGGUUUGGUCAGUCCUCCGGGAAAUCUGAUAGCUCAACUAUUAGGCUUUCGGGGGAUACUGCCAGACUUGGAACCGGGAGAGGUAAGAGGUACUACAGGGGUAGGAGUGAAAUCUUGUAAUCCCUGUGGGACCACCUGUGGCGAAGGCGUCUUACCAGAACGGGUUCGACGGUGAGGGACGAAAGCUGGGGGCACGAACCGGAUUAGAUACCCGGGUAGUCCCAGCCGUAAACGAUGCUCGCUAGGUGUCAGGCAUGGCGCGACCGUGUCUGGUGCCGCAGGGAAGCCGUGAAGCGAGCCACCUGGGAAGUACGGCCGCAAGGCUGAAACUUAAAGGAAUUGGCGGGGGAGCACAACAACGGGUGGAGCCUGCGGUUUAAUUGGACUCAACGCCGGACAACUCACCGGGGGCGACAGCAAUAUGUAGGCCAAGCUGAAGACUUUGCCUGAAUCGCUGAGAGGAGGUGCAUGGCCGUCGCCAGUUCGUACUGUGAAGCAUCCUGUUAAGUCAGGCAACGAGCGGGACCCGUGCCCACUGUUACCAGCAUGUCCUCCGGGACGAUGGGUACUCUGUGGGGACCGCCGAUGUUAAAUCGGAGGAAGGUGCGGGCCACGGUAGGUCAGUAUGCCCCGAAUCUCCCGGGCUACACGCGGGCUACAAUGGUUGGUACAAUGGGCAUCUACCCCGAAAGGGGAAGGAAAUCUCUUAAAGCCAAUCGUAGUUCGGAUUGAGGGCUGCAACUCGCCCUCAUGAAGCUGGAAUCCGUAGUAAUCGCGUUUCAAUAUAGCGCAGUGAAUACGUCCCUGCUCCUUGCACACACCGCCCGUCAAACCACCCGAGUGAGGUAUGGGUGAGGGCACGGACUCUGUGCCGUGUUCGAACCUGUGCUUUGCAAGGGGGGUU
This 959-nucleotide ribosomal RNA is filed under the name uncultured euryarchaeote. RNAcentral's name for it is "bacterial SSU rRNA". It matches the Rfam family "Archaeal small subunit ribosomal RNA", at positions 471 to 1429 of the family's 1478-position model. Lineage: Archaea; Methanobacteriati; Methanobacteriota. The record is from RNAcentral.